ACUCUAGACAAUGCUCGGAAUCAUUUGAGCAACGCUUCCGAAAUUCUGUCAAGAAUAGCAGUACUUGCAGCGGCUAGUUUACAACAGGCGGAGUUACUUGCAGCUGUCAGCCUUAUUUCUCAGGCAUCCUUGGUGAUUUCUAAAAAUGGGGAUCUGUCUCACUUUGUGAUUACGACGUCAGUCGCGGCACGACUGUCACCACAGGCAACAGCAAAGAAAAUCCCACGCUAGAAAGUGUUUUCGAUCAUAUAAAAACGUUUCAGACGACGGCAACCAAUGAGUUUUAGAAUUUGCAGAAACAACGACUACGAAGUCACGAAAAUGUGCAUGUCGUCUUGACUGCGAACGUGUUGGAAGUCUGAACUGUUCAUUCGGCAAACACAAACUUUGUUGUACAAAAGAUCCUAGGCAGUGGCGUUUGAAGAGUCACAACAAAAGUGCGGCAGAUCAAUGAGCGAAAAUCAUCUCAACAAGCGAACAAAAUGUACAAGUGUACAAGUACAAAAGAAGCCAAUCGCUCAAAACAGCGUUGAAAUAGACGUGCGUACUCCUAUCGUUAGAGGUUGCCAAAUAACAGACUGCGUCAAUCGCAUACUAGAAGUGACAGAGCAAAUGUCGAAAAUGAUACGAAGCUUGACACAACUAUAAAUCAAUCGUUUCAGUUUUCUGAUAUGACGAUGGAAGAUGUCUGUUUCGAGUUGACGGUAGAAUUCGUCAAAUUUAUGUCUGAAUGGGAUGUCCAGGAAGACGACGUAGUAGAAAAUGUAAUGACAGCUCUCCUAACAAGUGUCAACAUGCAUCAAGUUGAAAACAAUGCAGAUGGCAACUGUCUUUUUCAAGCGUGUUCUUCUCUUAUAUAUGGUUCAGCACGCUACCAUUCUCGAGUUAGAGCAGAGGCUGUACGUUUCAUUCAAGAAAAUUAACGCCUUUUUAAGGACGCUGUUCUUUCUGUGCAAGACAGCACCUACAACACUAAGGAAAGAAGCACCAAAAUUAAAUAGAAGAUCAAGAUGCGACAGCAAAUGACACAAUGAUUGUUUGAAAUACGGUACAUCGAAAGAAUGUCCACAAUUGGUGAAUGGGGAGAUGCAUUAUGUAUUGUGGCACUAGCAAUGGUUCAUAAGCUACAGUUGUCUUUGUUCGUUUCACCUGCAUGCUACAGAGUAGAGUUUAAUGCUGACGAUGCUUCGACAAAACGUCAUAUUGCAUUGGCAAAAUUAAACAACAGACAGUUUCGAGCUGUUGUUCCAGACAAUGUUUGUGACAGUCACUACAAGCUGCACUUCCCGGUACCAUCCGUUGCACUGAAUUCUGUGAAUGAAGCCAGCGUUUCCAAACUAACACUCCACGAGUACUGUUCUCUGUCGGGAAAAAGGGUAAUAUGUCUAACUAUAUAAUUCAUUACUAAUCGCCAAAUUUAUUAAUAAAUUAAAAGUUAGUUAUAUUGCUCUUUGCAACUCUUCAUAAAUACAUUGUCAGCUG
Molecule: RNA transcript, 1482 nt
Organism: Corticium candelabrum
Lineage: Eukaryota; Metazoa; Porifera; Homoscleromorpha; Homosclerophorida; Plakinidae
Exons: 5
Source: RefSeq, a predicted model, not a curated record